UUUCUCUCUCCCUCUGUUAUGCAGUAAACAACGCUCAGGUCAGUGUGACACCACCACAGGCACAUCUUCGUCACCUGCUGCGAGGGGGAACAGAAUGGAGCGUUCCACAGCAAUUUCACUCCUGUGGUUUCCAGGGAAGAGCCUUAGGAGAAUGUGUUAAUCAGCCAGCAAGCAGAGAGGGAACAAGGUGUGCCAUGGGCAGGACAUUGUGGCUCAAUGAGCCAUAGCUCGGGGGACGACGACGACACUUGGAAGCUUUUUGACUGUCCUUGAGAAUGAGGGGCUGAUGAUCGUCUAAAUAUCCAUUUUACCAGCCAUCUCCCACAGGGUGACAUGUCAGUUCUGGAGAGCUUGACAGGGACAAGAGGGGAAUACUGAUGUGGUCAUCAAACGUCUUAUGCGACACUGCGCUAUGAUUACAGCUGUGGGGGAGUUAUUGAGACACAUGAAUGGAGCUGCAGAGCCCGUCAGGUAAAAGUAGCCCACUAAUUGAGGUCAAAUUCUUUCAUUUGUAUCUUUGUUAAAGCUGCACUAUGUAACUUUUUGGGCGACCCAACCUUAGUUACAGAACUAUCAUUCUCAAUGAAAGCAAGUCUAAGAAACGGUUGAUCUGUUCUACAGUGUGUGCACUAUAUUUCUAUGCUUCCAUUCUGAAGUUUAGUUUUCCAAUUUAUAGUGCACCUUUAAUGAUUCAUGAGGAAAGGGGGUUCAUGGGGUGAUUACCAAGCAUGAAUAUUCCCUUCUCAUCUAUUCAGUAAAGCCUUCCUCACCUUUCAAACAUGACAGUUUUGAAAAAUGAGCGUUUUGGUCAUUUUGUCAUGAUGAAUGGAGACAAAGCUUGUCAGCUUCAUCAGUUUUAGACAGAUAUGACAAAAGAGCAGGAUGGAUCCAUUUUCCCUUUGGGUGUUUUUCUGUUGAGUUUCUAUUGGAUAAGCAUGAGUGUUUAAUAUUCUCUUUGAAAAAGAAGAGAGAGUGAGUGUGAGUAAGAGAGUGAGAGAGGGAAAGAGAAUCAGAGAGUGUGUGAGAUAAAGAGAGAGCAAGAGAGGGAUAGAGAGAGUGUGUGCGCUUGAGAGAAAUUGCAUUUAUGUAACAGUUUCUUACCCCUAAUCCCAUGUAUAAAGUGGGGAUACCUGAGUCAAUUGUACAACUGAAAUGUGUCCUCUGAAUCAGAGAGGUGUGGGGAGCUGCCUUAAUCAACAUCCACAUUGUCUGGGGAACAGUGGGUUAACUGCCUUGCUCAGGGGCAGAAUGACAGCUUUUUACCUUGUCAGCUUGGGGAUUUGAUCCAACAACCUUUUGGUUACUGGCCCAAUUCUCUAGCCACUAGGCUACACCUCCAGUCAGUCACUGCCUCUGUCUCCUCUCAGAGCUUACCAGAGCUGCUUUCCUUUCUGUACAGCAGUCCCAGCCAGUCCUUCGGUCAACCACUGUUAAGUGAUACAAAUUGAGCUUCUAUCUAUCAGGUCUCUUCCAGACACUAAACAGCCUGACCAAGGGAUGUCAGACUGAUUAAUCACGGCUAAUGAAAUCAAAGAAAACCCUGCCUUGGUCACUUAUAUAAUGUGCAUGAAUGGUGAAAGUGUGUGUUCAUGUACUCUUCAUGUAUUAUAGGUGUGUGUGUGUGUGUGUGUGUGUGUGUGUGUGUGUGUGUGUGUGUGUGUGUGUGUGUGUGUGUGUGUGUGUGUGUGUGUGUGUGUGUGUGUGUGUGUGUGUGUGUGUGUGUGUUCAUAUGUAUUGAAAGCUUUUGAUACAAAAGUAUGCUUGGAAUUGUGCUUAAAACAAAAACCCUCAUUAUUUGAUCUACAUUUCUUGCUACCCAGCAAUCUGUUCUACACCUUCAAAAGAAUUUCAGUUGGUGCAGUCAAUCAACGUCUCAAAACUUUUAUGUUAGUCACGUUGUUGUUGUUACAUAAUGCAACACAGAUCUUUGUGCAGUUUCUUUCCUCCCAUCUUACUCACAAAACCGUGUUCCAUGGUUGAUGUUAGCUUUCCCACUGGGUACAGUGCUCUCAUGAAGGUUGACUGACUGAAAGCUCAGCCACAAUAAGAAAUGUGCAUCUGACUGAAUGUGUGCAGAGACUUUUUCCUGUUUUUCCAGUUUUGCCUUUUGCCUCCAGAACCUUCACUAAUCAGUUCUGGAUGUAUGGUAGAUUCUGCCUAUUAUCCACUGGGUACAGUUGAAAUGACAUUCCAAAAUAUGAGCUAGACCAAGUUACAGUGUUAGCACUCUCGACAAGGCAGGCAUGUGCGUGUCUGGUGCAGAUAUCAUUGAAGAGCAUCUACAGUAAAUUGUUGUGAGCCAGCCUCUCUCUCUCUCCUGUGCCCUCACAGCACUACAGGAACUAGAGGCAGGCAGCUGCCAACAUAGAAAUAUAAUUACUAGAACUGGAAUCCCCAUUCAAGUCAAUGUUCCAUAAUUCUAUCUAUAUGGCUCCCAAUCCCUCCUUUUUGCAGGGAAGUGUGACCAAAAGCACCUAGAGGAAAAACAAGACUCCCAACCAAAUGAACCAGUAAUGUUAGGUGGCAGGUAGCCUAGUGGUUAGAGCAUUGGGCCAGUAACUGAAAAGUUGCUGGGUUGAAUC
Molecule: long non-coding RNA, 2582 nt
Organism: Oncorhynchus tshawytscha (Chinook salmon)
Lineage: Eukaryota; Metazoa; Chordata; Actinopteri; Salmoniformes; Salmonidae
Exons: 3
Source: RefSeq, a predicted model, not a curated record